This 250-nucleotide ribosomal RNA is filed under the name uncultured bacterium. Its description in RNAcentral is "partial 16S ribosomal RNA". It matches the Rfam family "Bacterial small subunit ribosomal RNA", at positions 524 to 773 of the family's 1533-position model. The record is from RNAcentral.
UACGAAGGGGGCUAGCGUUGUUCGGAAUUACUGGGCGUAAAGGGCGCGUAGGCGGCGCUUCAAGUCAGGCGUGAAAGCCCCGGGCUUAACCUGGGAAUUGCGCUUGAGACUGGAGUGCUUGAGUUCCGGAGAGGUGGGUGGAAUUCCCAGUGUAGAGGUGAAAUUCGUAGAUAUUGGGAAGAACACCGGUGGCGAAGGCGGCCCACUGGACGGACACUGACGCUGAGGCGCGAAAGCGUGGGGAGCAAAC